AUUGAACGCUGGCGGCAGGCUUAACACAUGCAAGUCGAGCGAGCGGCGGACGGGUGAGUAAUGUCUGGGAAAAUGCCUGAUGGAGGGGGAUAACUACUGGAAACGGUAGCUAAUACCGCAUACCAUCAGAUGUGCCCAGAUGGGAUUAGCGAGUAGGUGGGGUAAUGGCUUACCUAGGCGACGAUCCCUAGCGGGUCUGAGAGGAUGACCAGCCACGCUGGAACUGAGACACGGUCCAGACCCCUACGGUAGGACGCAGUGGGGAAUAUUGCACAAUGGGCGCAAGCCUGAUGCAGCAAUGCCGCGUGUGUGAAGAAGGCCUUCGGGUUGUAAAGCACUUUCAGCGAGGAGUCGUUACUCGCAGAAGAAGCACCGGCUAACUCCGUGCCAGCAGCCGCGGUAAUUC
RNAcentral lists this ribosomal RNA (406 nucleotides) under uncultured bacterium. Its description in RNAcentral is "partial 16S ribosomal RNA". It matches the Rfam family "Bacterial small subunit ribosomal RNA", at positions 30 to 526 of the family's 1533-position model. The record is from RNAcentral.